GGAUUGUGGCUCAGCGGUAGAGCGCUCACCUGGCACAGGUGGGACCCGGGUUCGAUUCUCAGCACCA
This 67-nucleotide transfer RNA is filed under the name Marmota monax (woodchuck). Its description in RNAcentral is "tRNA.Ala". The record is from RNAcentral. Lineage: Eukaryota; Metazoa; Chordata; Mammalia; Rodentia; Sciuridae.